RNAcentral lists this ribosomal RNA (465 nucleotides) under uncultured bacterium. Its description in RNAcentral is "partial 16S ribosomal RNA". It matches the Rfam family "Bacterial small subunit ribosomal RNA", at positions 28 to 507 of the family's 1533-position model. The record is from RNAcentral.
GAUGAACGCUGGCGGCGUGCUUAACACAUGCAAGUCGAACGGAAAGGCUCCUGCUUGCGGGGGUACUCGAGUGGCGAACGGGUGAGUAACACGUGGGUGAUCUGCCCUGCACUUCGGGAUAAGCCUGGGAAACUGGGUCUAAUACCGGAUAGGACGAUGGUUUGGAUGCCAUUGUGGAAAGUUUUUCGGUGUGGGAUGAGCUCGCGGCCUAUCAGCUUGUUGGUGGGGUAAUGGCCUACCAAGGCGUCGACGGGUAGCCGGCCUGAGAGGGUGUACGGCCACAUUGGGACGGGGAUACGGCCAAGACUCCUACGGGAGGAAGCGGUGGGGAAUAUUGCACAAUGGGCGCAAGCCUGAUGCAGCGACGCCGGGUGGGGGAUGACGGCCUUCGGGUUGUAACCUCCUUUCGCUAGGAACGAAGCGCAAGUGACGGUACCUAGAGAAGAAGCACCGGCUAACUACGUG